CCUACGGGAGGCAGCAGUGGGGAAUAUUGCACAAUGGGCGAAACCCUGAUGCAGCGACGCCGCGUGAGUGAAGAAGUAAUUCGUUACGUAAAGCUCUAUCAGCAGGGAAGAAAAUGACGGUACCUGAGUACGAAGCCCCGGCUAACUACGUGCAAGCAGCCGCGGUAAUACGUAGGGGGGAAGCGUUAUCCGGAUUUACUGGGUGGGAAGGGAGCGUAGACGGUGCGCCAAGUCUGGAGGGAAAUGCCGCAGCUUAACUGCGGAACUGCUGUGGAUACUGGCGAACUAGAGUGCGGGAGGGGUAAGCGGAAUGCCUAGUGUAGCGGUGAAAUGCGGAGAUAUUAGGAGGAACACCGGUGGCGAAGGCGGCUUACUGGACCGUAACUGACGUUGAGGCUCGAAAGCGUGGGGAGCAAACAGGAUUAGAUACCCCAGUAGUC
This 440-nucleotide ribosomal RNA is filed under the name uncultured bacterium. RNAcentral's name for it is "partial 16S ribosomal RNA". It matches the Rfam family "Bacterial small subunit ribosomal RNA", at positions 338 to 795 of the family's 1533-position model. The record is from RNAcentral.